GGAUAGCCCCUCGAAAGAGGGAUUAAUACCUCAUAACACUGCGAGAAGGCAUCUUUUUGCAGUUAAAGUUCCGACGGUUUAAGAUGGGCAUGCGCGGCAUUAGCUAGUUGGUGAGGUAACGGCUCACCAAGGCUGUGAUGUCUAGGGGUUCUGAGAGGAAAAUCCCCCACACUGGUACUGAGACACGGACCAGACUCCUACGGGAGGCAGCAGUAAGGAAUAUUGGUCAAUGGGCGCAAGCCUGAACCAGCCAUGCCGCGUGCAGGAUGACGACCCUAUGGGUUGUAAACUGCUUUUGUACGGGAAAAAACCCUCCGACGUGUCGGGGGCUGAUGGUACCGUAAGAAUAAGGAUCGGCUAACUCCGUGCCAGCAGCCGCGGUAAUACGGAGGAUCCUAGCGUUAUCCGGAUUUAUUGGGUUUAAAGGGUGCGCAGGCGGAAUAAUAAGUCAGUGGUGAAAUCCUGCAGCUUAACUGCAGAACUGCCAUUGAUACUGUUAUUCUUGAGUAUAUUUGAAGUGGGCGGAAUGUGUCAUGUAGCGGUGAAAUGCUUAGAUAUGACACAGAACACCAAUUGCGAAGGCAGCUCACUAAGCUAUAACUGACGCUCAUGCACGAAAGCGUGGGGAUCAAACAGGAUUAGAUACCCUGGUAGUCCACGCCGUAAACGAUGAUUACUCGAUGUUGGUGAUACACAAUCAGCGUCUAAGCGAAAGCAAUAAGUAAUCC
This 728-nucleotide ribosomal RNA is filed under the name uncultured bacterium. RNAcentral's name for it is "bacterial SSU rRNA". It matches the Rfam family "Bacterial small subunit ribosomal RNA", at positions 141 to 870 of the family's 1533-position model. The record is from RNAcentral.